RNAcentral lists this long non-coding RNA (437 nucleotides) under Parus major (Great Tit). Its description in RNAcentral is "lncRNA (ENSPMJG00000004159.1)". The record is from RNAcentral. Lineage: Eukaryota; Metazoa; Chordata; Aves; Passeriformes; Paridae.
CCCAGUUCAAUCCCAGUUCAGCCCAGUUCAAUCCCAGUUCAAUCCCAGUUCAUCCCAGUUCAAUCCCAGUUCAUCCCAGUUCAUCCCAGUUCAUCCCAGUCCAUCCCAGUUCAUUCCCAGUUCAUCCCAGUUCAAUCCCAGUCCAUCCCAGUCCAUCCCAGUUCAAUCCCAGUCUCACCCCGAGGGCGUGGCCCGUCGCUGGCCCCGCCCCCUCCGGGAAGAGCCAAUCCAGCGCGUCCAGCACAGCGGGGGAGGGGCCGAGUUCCCGCAGCAGUGACGUCACCACCUGUGGGGGGAGGGGCGGGGCCAGGCUGGGGGGCGUGGCCUAGAGAUUCCCUUGCCCAUAUAAGGAAAUGGGGGUGGGGUUUACAUUGGUGGGCGUGGUCUGAAGGUUUCUAUGCCCAUAUAAGGAAAUGGGGGCGGGGUUUAGUGGAGUG